Chrysemys picta bellii (western painted turtle) is the source of this 2902-nucleotide long non-coding RNA. RefSeq lists it as uncharacterized. The record is from RefSeq and is a predicted model, not a curated record. NCBI's taxonomy places the organism in Eukaryota, Metazoa, Chordata, Testudines, Emydidae.
CGAUGCAAUCAGCAUGCUGAUUAAGGUUGCUUGGUUUUUUACUAAACAUUAACUGAAUGAAAACGGUUAGUCCUUGUUGUUCUGCUUGGGGGGCUUUGGUGAAGCAAAUGGACUUUCAGAACAGAGAUUGUCAAUAAAGGCUGGAGCUCAACGCAAACCUAACUAAGGCCUGAUGGUACAUUGUGAUCCACACAGAAAGACUAGUGAGCCUGAACUUAAGUGGUGAACUUUAGUGAGCCUAAUCUUCAGUGGUGCUUCUCGGGGCUUCAGCAAUCCACCCAGUUGAUAGCAACUGCAGGACUGGGACCUAAUAAAAUAAAUGCUGCGUGUCUGUUUUGAUGGCAAAGGGGAUUGAAGGUUUUUCUCUUUCUUUCUUUCUUACUUUCUUUUUCUUAAGAAAUUGGUAACUAUUUCAACUCUGUUUCAUAGCUUAUUCUCUCUCUGCCUCAGGAAAAAAAAAGUUGUUUCACUGGAUCACAUUUAAAGUUAUUUUUCUGUCCAGUCAUGUGAUAUCAGUUGUUUUGCCAGAAAUGCACAACAGGAAUGGAGUUUUCCUUUCUUGAGCCUAGAGAAGAGGUGUCACAUCUGUAUGGCAUGAGAGGUACAUAUUCCCCAGCUUUUCUGGAGUCUGGACUGUGUUGAAAACUAAAUGAGCCAGAUUCUUCUGUGCCAUGUGGUCGCUUUACACAGUGCUGUUUUUGUAAUUUGGUACCUAAUGCAAAGGUGAUCCUCCCAUGGUCUAGAGCCCAUAUAAGAGCUCUUACAUUCCCCCAGUGUGGUCUGUAUAGCAGAGAAAAAGAGCAUUACAGAUGAAAGGGGGUGAGGUCCAGAUGCCCCUGCACCACACUAGUCCUUGGAUUCAUUUUGGCCCCUUGGGGGUAUUGCAGCAUGGUAAGUUAUACAGCCCUACACAGAGCUACUGCAGGAUUAGGAGAGGAUAAGCCACUUGUGUACAGCACCUCUUGACCAGCAGUGUGCAAUUUAGCCAUACUCCAUGAUCUGGCCCAUUGAAUUGUUUCUGUUGUUACAGUAUGGCUAACUUCCACAAUUUUAUUAUAAGUCUGAUAAUGUUUGAUUCGUUACUUAAAGCCCCAGUUCCUGGAGACAAGAGAUUGUGUAAGAAUCUCAAGUUUCAUUUAAAAUAAUAUAGCCCUCACGGUUGUGGAAAAAAACUUGAAAAUGUGACCUGAUUGCAUUCUAAAGGCUCAGACACUUGAAGGCAAAUAAACAGAACUCAACAUUUAUUACUUUGUAAAAUCUCAUAACAUUUAAGCCAAUCUUAUGAUUUUAGGGUAUCUGAUUCAUGAUUGUUGAAGCUACAGGGCUGGCAAUAUCGAGAAACAACUCUCCCCUUCCCAGAUCUGCCAACUCUUCAGUUUUCCUCAUAGACUAGGGUGGGGGUAGUCAAUUAUUUUUUGUCAAGGUCCACAUUUCUUGGUUAAAGGUAUAGUGUCAAGGUUCAGAGAAAAUAAUAAUAAUAAUAAUAAUAAAAACAAUGAUAAUAAGUAAAUUAAAAGAUUUUGGGGUCCAUUCAAAAGCAUGUGGCAGUCCGGAUUUGGCCCACGGUUCACCUGUUGACUACCUGGUGGACUAGAGGUUUUCAGAUCUCCUACAGUUUUAUGAGAAAAACCCAUCAAUUGAUGGGAUCUGAAGAGACUGCCAAUGAUUUGAGUGCCUUCCCAAUGGCCCUGCCUCCUGGGAAAUGCGACCAAUCAGAUGUGGCAGCCAGAGCUCUUCCCCCAUCCCCUUCCUCACCUCAGGAACCCACAGGGAUUUUUCUGUAGAGGAGGGGGGAGAGGAAGCAGAAAAAGCCCAGAAGAUCAGGGCAGCUCUACUCUCUCCUUCCCCUCCCCUCCUGUGAACAAUAACUCAGCACACCUCUGCUCCUCCCCACUUCCCUGUUCUCCUCCCUGUCACUCCAGGUGUGGGAGAAGGGAGGGGGGUUAAAAGCCCAUGGAACUUGCCCCCCAGCCUGGGAGUGGGGGUGAAAAACCCCUGUACAUCUCCCCCCAGGCCAAAACUAAUUGAUUUGGGGUCUGGUUUACAGAUGGGCAGGGAGGUGCACCAUUCAUUUGGGGCUGGGAGCUCAAAACUGGUGUGGGGCUGAUGAGAUGGGCUGGGAAGUAUAUAAUUAAUUGAUAUAGGGAUGGUAUGGGUGCAAAAUGAACUGAUGUGGGGUUGGGGAACAGAUAGAGAUGAGGCUGGAGUGGCACAGAAAUUGUUAUUUGUGGGUUGAGGAGAAGUGAGAACCCUUUGCAUUGUCCAGCAGAGAUUUAUUCACAUUAGCUUAAUUUACACAAAGUUGUGUACUUUAUGCAAAUUAAAAUCUACUCUUUGUCAUGAGGCAUUGGCAGGUGUGCCUUUAGCUUCAUCCUACCACCAUGGCUAAGUUUUAGCCUCCUCGGUCCAGAUUGUCAAUGGAGCUCAGCUACUUUUAGCCCCCAAAAUAGGCAGCCAGAUUUUCAAAUGUUCUUUUUUAAAAAUGCAGCCAAAAGCAGCACAGUGGGACGUGACUGGUGCUGAGCUCUUUUGAAAAUCUGGCUCCAGCUGUGGGUAUUGAGCACUUGAAAAUCUGUCCACGAGCUGUUUUGAAAAUACGGCCCUAAAUCCAGCAUACAACUGCAGGGAUUCAGAUAUCUGGUGCUUCCCACAUUCAUAGGCAUUUAGGAUUGCCUUGCAUACCUAAACAAAGCUCCACAAGAGUUGAUGUGGUGUCUGUACCUUGGUAUGUAGUGUCUUUUUGCUUGUGUGUGUGUUUGUACUGCCCCUUCAAAUCCCUCUCCCUGCUUCCAUUGUGUGUACAGUGCAGAGUUGACACACACUGUAUGCUCUUUCAUGGAGAUUUUACUUUUGUUCUUUCUUGUUUGUUCUUUAAAUCUAAAAAAAAAAAAGAGCUUGAAGC